Molecule: long non-coding RNA, 143 nt
Filed under: Capra hircus (goat)
Lineage: Eukaryota; Metazoa; Chordata; Mammalia; Artiodactyla; Bovidae
Description: lncRNA (ENSCHIG00010030313.1)
Source: RNAcentral
AAGUGACAUGUCAGAGCUGCGAUUGCCUUCAGUAGUCCAGUUUUAAGUCCAAAGCCUUAAUCGUUCUUUCUGGAUACCCAGUACCUUAUAAUGCAGAAACCAAACCUUGGUAGGAAAACGAUAAGGUCCCCAGGAAGACAAGA